Molecule: ribosomal RNA, 253 nt
Filed under: uncultured bacterium
Lineage: Bacteria
Description: partial 16S ribosomal RNA
Rfam family: Bacterial small subunit ribosomal RNA
Source: RNAcentral
UACGUAGGAGGCGAGCGUUGUCCGGAUUUACUGGGCGUAAAGGGCGCGCAGGCGGCACCAUAAGUUCUUUGUGAAAUCUCCCUGCUCAACGGGGAGGGUGCAGAGUAGACUAUGGAGCUGGAGGUGGGUAGAGGGUGGUGGAAUUGCUGGUGUAGCGGUGAAAUGCGUAGAGAUCAGCAGGAACACCCGUGGCGAAGGCGGCCACCUGGGCCUAACCUGACGCUGAGGCGCGAAGGCUAGGGGAGCGAACGGG